UGGAUUUCGAAUUUCGUAACUCGAGAUAUGAAUUUUUAAGAGACUAUGACGCAGAUUGUUAGCUUGACUGAAAAUUUUAAAAAUAAAUUGUUUGAGCUGUUUAAGUAAUGAAUUAAGUCUAUUAACACCUCGUGUUCGACUCCGGCGGCGGUCUCGGGUACGGGACGUUACAUGCCAAGAGGGUGCUGAGAUACAUUAAAGGAACUUUGAGGCUUGGUAUGUUGUUUAAGAAAGAAAAGGUGCUGAAGCUGGUUUGUUA
Molecule: long non-coding RNA, 259 nt
Filed under: Gossypium barbadense (sea-island cotton)
Lineage: Eukaryota; Viridiplantae; Streptophyta; Magnoliopsida; Malvales; Malvaceae
Description: long non-coding RNA (GBAR_LNC004598)
Source: RNAcentral